This 973-nucleotide long non-coding RNA is filed under the name Gossypium raimondii (Peruvian cotton). RNAcentral describes it as "long non-coding RNA (GRAI_LNC000760)". Lineage: Eukaryota; Viridiplantae; Streptophyta; Magnoliopsida; Malvales; Malvaceae. The record is from RNAcentral.
UGGGCUGUUGGAAGCGUGGGCCUGCUGCCGGACAGGCUUGCUGGACUACUGCGCUAGGCUUGCUGUGGGUGCUAGAUUGGGCUGCAGUUUUGGGCCUGAUCUGCUGCUGGAGAUUUGGCCUGCUGAGACUACUGGGCUACUGUUGCUGCUGGGGGCUGCUGCAACGGGUCGGGUCAGGUAAGAUGGGUCGGGUCGGGUUGACCCGACUGUGAUAUUAUUUUUUUUUCUUUUUUCUUCUCUUUUUCUUAUUUCUUUCUCUUUUUCUUCUUUCUUUUUCUUCUUUUUCUUCCUUGCGCAGUCGACGGCGCUUCCUCCGCCUGGUGCAACGGCCGACAGUGGCGUGGUGGUCCUCUCCUCCUCUUCAUGUCCUCUUUUCUCCCUUCUUUUUUUCUUUUCGGUUGCUAUUUUUUCCUUCUUUUACUUGCUGUUUUUUUUAUAUUUUCCUUUGUUGUUUGGCUUGUUUGGGUUGUAGGUGAUGGUGGUGGAGGUGUCACGGUGGCGGUGCGACAGUGAUGAUUGCAGAAGGAGGCUUUGGGCUGCUGUUUUUUAAAUAUCUUGUUGCUAUUUUUUUCAAAAAAAUUUUCUUUGCUGCAAAAACCGAAUCCCCCUUUUUCUCAUUUUUUUUCUUUUUAAUCUCACCAAUUUGUCCUCUUCUUCUUUGUUUUCAGGUGGCAAUGGAGCAAUCAUAGCCUAGGGAGGCUGCUGGAGUAGCUAGGGGUGGGAGGAGCACGCUUGGCUGCCGAUUGGCUAAUUUGACAUGUCUAGAAGGACCAAACUGUAGAAGAUGCAAAAUUUCUGGGGUAAAAAUGCAAUUUUAGAAAAAUAUAGGGCCAAAAUAUAAUUUUUAGAAAUUUUAGGGGUUUGAAUGUAAUUUACAAAAUACAAUGGGUCAAGAUGCAAAUUUGGGAAAAGUUAGGGGUUAAAAUGUAAUUUUUGAAAAGUUUAGGGGCUAAAAUGUAAUAUAUAUAUAUAU